GGAAGACAGGAGCGAACUUGAGGAAGUGUUCUGUGAGUGAGACGGAGAUCUGGAUUGUGUUCGUAGACUCCCGAGGGCGGACAGGUAUCUCGGUGCUGGGAAGCUGCUCUACGGGCGUCAUGGGCUGGUAGACAUAUUUACAGUGGCACCAUCCCAGGUGGCAGCACCAGUGCAGGCGGAAGCAGCGGCCGUGGCUGUGCGUGGCGCAGAGCGAGAGCCCGUCGCACGGCUGGAAGUCGGGUCUGCCCGCGCAGCUGCGGGCCAGCGCCUGAGCCUCGUCCAGCUUCUCGCUCUUGGCCGCCGCCGCCCCGCUCAUGGCGCCGCCGCUCCGCCCGCAGCCCCCGCGCCGCAGCG
RNAcentral lists this long non-coding RNA (354 nucleotides) under Gallus gallus (chicken). Lineage: Eukaryota; Metazoa; Chordata; Aves; Galliformes; Phasianidae. The record is from RNAcentral.